UGAAGAUGCACUGGAUGCGCUUGAGGAAAAUAAAAUAGAGAGUAAACCAGCUGGGGCAGAUGCCUCAUCUCAUUCUGCAGAACUCAGCAAGGCAACCUCAGUUAGCCAAGAAGAAGCUCCAGCCGCUGCAGAUCCACUGGUUCAGAAUUCUAAUGAUGGUAAAGUACACGAAAAUGAGCAGAUUGUCAGGGAGAUUCCAAUUGAGGAGAUCAAUGGUACAGAAUCCGCUGCAGCAUGUGUUAACAAUUCUGUGCAGCAAGAAGCCACCGUAAUCAACCAAGCCACCUCAAGUUAACUUUUUUAUAUCUUAGUAGAAUACCGUAUCAUCUGGCCUUCAUUUCUUCUUG
This 347-nucleotide unclassified non-coding RNA is filed under the name Hevea brasiliensis (rubber tree). Lineage: Eukaryota; Viridiplantae; Streptophyta; Magnoliopsida; Malpighiales; Euphorbiaceae. The record is from RNAcentral.